This is a long non-coding RNA of Ornithodoros turicata, 3201 nucleotides long. RefSeq lists it as uncharacterized. NCBI's taxonomy places the organism in Eukaryota, Metazoa, Arthropoda, Arachnida, Ixodida, Argasidae. The transcript is spliced from 4 exons. The record is from RefSeq and is a predicted model, not a curated record.
AAUGAACCACACAGAAAUAUCAAAUGUGAAAUGCAACUCAGAGUUAUGAGGCAUUCCCAUCUUAGAGAUACUUACUUAUGUCAAUCGAGUGAACAAUUGAAGCAAAUGCAAGACAAUAAUUAUUUCAGGCAGUAAGUUCACAACUCAUAGAAUAUCAGACGAGUGAAUACUUGAAACAAAAUCAAAACAAUAAUUCUCACGACAGGUGGAGAUUAUAGCAUUCUAAAUCAGAUAAUAAAAUUUUAAUCAAUAAAAUAAACAUAGAUAUGCUUUUAAUUAAGUGUAGACGUGCACUUGAAAACAGAAGAGACAAUUGCUCUACUUUGAAAAGAUGGACAGAUUUUGUACUCGAUACCAUAAGUCAUGGGAAGAUGUGAUAAAAAACUGCUUCGAAAAGGAGGAGCCGCGAAACGAUUUCAUUAUCGCUGCAUUUCAAUACGUCCUAGACAUGGUCGUAUUCGGAGAUAUGGUACAAACUACAGAACUGAAGGUGCAAGAAUUUAUAUGCCGAAUCUACAAUACUGUUACAAGAUCGUAGUCUGUGUCCAGAUGCGUUCUCCUUGCCCCAAGUUCGUUCGGACAAUGCCCACGCGACGGUUCGAAACCGCCCGCCCAUUUUCACGCCUGUCUUUUUCGUCUUCGCAACAUCACACCCUUUCUUCCCCUCUGGCACUGUUGCGUUGAUCUUCCUGGGGAGCCUCGUUGCCGGUUGAGAGUUCACGGUACGGUGCCAGACGGUCGACGUGAACGACAAGGGGCCGGGCACGGCCUGUCCGCCUGAUCCGGUAGACGACGUCAUUGAGGCGCUUAGCGACGACAUAUGGCCCCUGCCACGGCCGCUGCAACUUGGGAGAUAGGCCCCGCUUCCGAACAGGGUUGUAGAGCCACACCGAUUGGCCUUCCUCGAACCUCCCUCCGGACGCCGCCCGAUCGUAGCGAGUCUUCAUACGUGUGAAUGCUUUCUGCAGAUGUUCUCUCGCAAACAUGUGCACAGUCUCGAGGCGUGUGCGCAAUGUCCGUAGGUAGCCGGAGACGUUGCCUGCAGCGUGGUCAGCGUCUGGUGUUGGACCAAGAGCCAGCUCGGUUGGAAGGCGGAGGUUGCGUCCGGUCGCCAUCAUCGCUGGUGUUUCCCCUGUAGCCUCGUGGAGCGCUGUCCUGUACGACAGAAGGAAGAGGGGAACCAGAGUAUCCCAAUUCCUCUGAUUCUCGGACACAAAUAAACUCAUGUGCUGCAGUAUAGUGCGGUUGAACCUCUCCACCAUUCCGUCGGACUGAGGGUGCACUUUAAUCUAGUUCCCUCUAACGUUACUCUGAUACGCACCUAACUUGUGAAAUACAAGUUAUUUGUGCUCGAUGUAAAGGUUACAGCCCAUUCAAAGGUUACAUGCGGACGUGCGCUGCCCUCUUACAGGUUACAUUGCGAGAGAAACAGUGGCGUUACCCCUAAGGAACGACGGCGUUACGCUUUUGGAGAAGUUACCAGCGUUACUUAUAAAAGCGAAGUGGUCCGCAGUUUCGCGAAAGUCGGCAGGUGGAGGUUGCACGUCAAGUGGCAGUUGGCAACAGCGUGUAUCAGGAAAAAGCGGGAGGAGCGUUUCGCUUGCUGUGUGGUACCUCGCCGCUUCGACAUCCGUUGCAUUGGAAACAACGGAAUUCAAAGUCACAUACUCGCAGGUGGAUAUAUGAUGUGACGGACGCACACAGACAUUCGAGGUUUCACACAGGGACGUUGCACGGACGCCGGCUGUGAUCGUGAUGCAUUUAUUGGAGAAAUGGAUGAAAAUGGGCAUGCACUGGAAGUAGCAUGCUGUUAUUGUCACCAUGUACGAGCCAAGCAUGCAGCACUGAGUGAAACAGGUUGUUUUGAACUUCAGACGUCAUGAGCAAAGCAUUUUUAACGUUACAAUUGCAUUCGGCGCAAUAGCACAGAAAGUGGUAGGACUAAAAGCACCCGAUAUAUUAUGGCCUUGCAAUUUGUGCAGAAUAUUGCAGUAAAAAAGAUUGUUCUUCGCAGGUAACCCAUAGCGCAGCUCCACUGGUUCCAAAUUUGAUGGACACAGCCAUGAGUUACCUGGCAGUAUGGUGGCAGAGGGUAUCUUGUGCCACAGAAGUACAUACGAACAGUCCAGCAGAAAUACAGCAGCAGCCCAAUCCCAGUCUAUAACUCUGCAGAGGCUCAGAGAGAUAGCAGCAAACCAGGUCCUUCCCACAACUCUCCGCAAGCUCGGGAUUCGUCGCAAACCCAGCCAGCCAGCCAUGUACAAACCUAUAUUUGCCAACAUUGUAGAUUGUCGACUAGGUAUUUCCAGUGCUUUUGUGACCACGUUGUUCAGUGUGUUGGUAGUGGCUUUCUCCCUUCUUGUGAUACUUGUGGAACAACGUUUGAAACCAUCUAAAGAUACAUACAUCAUUUGAAUUUUUGUAUUUAGUUAAGCACACGAGUACAGGAUGACAUAACAUGACAGGAUGAGCCAGCCAACACAAUGUAUAGGUGAGCUACUUGAGCAGAUGGAAAGAACAGAUCAAAGUUCGAAGAAUAAUCUGAAAAAAAAAAGGCUAUUUAUGCCAUAACCCAGAGGGCCACCACAUGUGCCCCAAGGUGGUUGUCGAUUGCGUUGUAAGCAGCAUAGAGGAAUUGUUUCAGGAAAUGGGUGUGCAGAUUGACACCACUUUGGUAAAAUCAGAUCAGGUUCGGAAGUUGCAUUAUGAGGAACCCCUAAUUUUUUGUAACGUGCCUUAAGUGCAGAAUGCGUUGGGGUUCUUCAUCUCAUUAAACUUUCAUUUAGAUAAUUUUUCUACACGUCAUGUGAAGAUGACUACGAAUUAUCUAUUUUGCUAAAGUCAAAAAGUGACUUGUCAACUCAGUUCCGUUAUAUGUACAUUCAGUGCAAGGUGUUCUGCAGUUUAGUAAUACUCAUAUUUCAUAUAUGCCUUUUCUCUGCAUGAUCCUUCGGAGAUAUUUUGCUCCACUGAAGAAGAGACUUGUGAACUCGAUUUUGACUUUCAGUGCAAAGUGUAUUGCAUCUUGAACCUUUAAUAUUACUCCUAUUUAAUAUGUUACAAUUCAUUCUUUCAAUGAUCUUUCCAUGUGUCAUAUGAAGAUGAUAAAGAAUUUUACAGUAUAUUUUUCGAGUAUUUUGCGUAGAAUACUAUGUAGUAUGAACCGUUGAUAAUAAAGUAACGCUGUGUUUGCAAAGAAAA